RNAcentral lists this non-coding RNA (103 nucleotides) under Megasphaera vaginalis (ex Srinivasan et al. 2021). Its description in RNAcentral is "Megasphaera sp. BV3C16-1 TPP riboswitch aptamer (THI element)". It matches the Rfam family "TPP riboswitch aptamer (THI element)". From Rfam's summary of the family: Vitamin B(1) in its active form thiamin pyrophosphate (TPP) is an essential coenzyme that is synthesised by coupling of pyrimidine and thiazole moieties in bacteria. The previously detected thiamin-regulatory element, thi box was extended, resulting in a new, highly conserved RNA secondary structure, the THI element, which is widely distributed in eubacteria and also occurs in some archaea. Lineage: Bacteria; Bacillati; Bacillota; Negativicutes; Veillonellales; Veillonellaceae. RNAcentral also lists the same sequence under 1 other name. The record is from Rfam by way of RNAcentral.
GUGACGAUUAAGGGGAGCGCGAUCACUGCUGAGAGGAAGACGAACUUCGACCCUAGAACCUGAUGCGGAUAAUGCCGCCGUAGGAACAGUAAGUAUACUUAGU